AUUAGAAUUUAUUGCAUAAUAAUUAGUCAUACUUUCAUAAAAAUUAAUUUCGAACUCAAACCCUCUCCAUUAUAUUUGUUAGAAUAAACAUAAUCAACAAACUAUUUUGUUCUGGAGAAAAAAUGAAGCUGAUGUCUGUAUUUGUUGACAUUUUACAACAUCGCCAACUUAGAGUCAAUAAAAACGUGCUCAAGAGAAAGUUGAGGGGAGCAGAUCUUAUAAGACCUUUAAAAAAAAUGAAGUGAGAGUAUUUUCUUUUUCAGUAUUUACCUAGUCAUCCAUACGUCCCUUCGUUCUUGUUUUUCUCUAUUCAUGUUUGUCCCUUGAACUCCUUAUCUCGCUAAUCCUUUCCUCUGAAUGCUCUUAUUUUAUCUCUUGCUCCACUGUUUUCCUCUAGGUCAUCUGUGUCUCUCUGCUCGCCAGGUCAGGUUCCCCAGGCUUGUCUUGGCCCCCUGACCCCUCCUUCCUCUCCCAGAGCUGUGUUUCCCCUGCUUCUCAUUUGCCGCCCAGCAACCUGAACAGAACAAUACUGGAAGUGGAACUGGCACUGACAAAAAGGAGAGCAACUGGAAAGAAAACUUUACUCAUCAAGACAGAGCAACUGAGAGCCUGUAUGUACCAUUUGAAGCCUGAUGAUCUUCCAAUUCUAAGGGGGACUUCAUAAUACUCACAAUCAUGCAUAGCUCUUGGCACUUCCAAGGAUGAAUGUGUUUGGCUGUGACAUGACUCCAGUGUCCUGGCCAGAAUUGCUUGGAACAAAGAUGAACCCUGACCAGGAACUGUGUCAUUUAAUAUAUUACUGCACAGAAAAAGAUUGGAGGGAACCCAUGCAAGUCUAAGACGCACACUGCUAUUGCUCAGGUUUGUGAUUUUUUUUAAUGCUUUAUUUGGCUGCACUGGGUCAUAGUUGUGGUAAUUGGGAUCUUCCGUCAUCAUUGUGGCAUUAAGGAUCCUUUUUACUUUCUGCAUGCCAGAUCUAGUUUCCUGAUCAGGAAUCGAACCCAAGCCCCUGCACUGGAAGGACCAAGUCUUAGCAACUGGACAACCAAGGAAGACCCAGUUUUGUGAAUUUUAACUACUUUAGAUACUCUUCAGGUGAGUGGGGUGGCGCACAUGCAUUUGUUUAACUCCUACACUGCACUAGAUAAGUUAAUUAUAACAUUUUAAGACUGGAUUUC
RNAcentral lists this long non-coding RNA (1178 nucleotides) under Bos grunniens (domestic yak). RNAcentral describes it as "lncRNA (ENSBGRG00000004661.1)". Lineage: Eukaryota; Metazoa; Chordata; Mammalia; Artiodactyla; Bovidae. The record is from RNAcentral.